UGCAAUGAGGGUUAGGUUUAGGUUGUUGGUCUGCAAAUUGAAACGAAUAUACUCAGUGAGGCCGUGUGGAAAUCAAAGGCUCAGAGAGGUUCUGCAGAUAUCAUGUGCCGAAAAACACUUGCUUGACUAUUUCUGAUCUAGAGAUCGACUUUGAGUUUCACAUCCCCAUGCUCCUGACGAAGGUCCAAUCUAGCUGGAAAACGCUAGAACGUCGAGAAACCUGAAUAGUGGUGGAGGCGUCUUCGUUUGCAAAGAUGAUAACACAGUGAUCAAAGGGAAGAGUCCUUUGAUCUCAGUCUGUCCAACAGAUCACUUGACAGGCGACUUACUAAAGGACCCAGUGUGCACAGCACGCUAGAAAUGCGACUGAUAUACGAGGCAUUCAUCCAUCUCCUACCGCUUAAUCCUCUACAUGAGGGUCACAGGGGCUGCUGGUGCCAAUCCCAGCUGAAACAGGGUGAAAGGUCCGUCACAGGGCCACAUAGAGCGAAACAACCAUCCACUCCCACACCUGCAGUCAACCUCGAGCAGCGGUGUCAAACUCAAAUGACCUGGGGGGCCAAUGAGCAUCUUGUCUGGUACAGAGGGGGCCAGAGAAAGAAAGUGGGAAAAACAGCUGUUCAGUAGCAGUCUUAAAGAAAGGAGAUUGUAAAGUCCACGUGUGCCCACAUGUGAUUUCCUCCUGGCUCCUGCUUCCCACUAUACCUCCACCAAUCCAUCACAACUGCCAUAUGUGCACCCAGUGGCCACUGUCCUCACUAAUGAAGGAUCUAUACCCCUUCUGUGCACAUGGGUCCUUAAUUAAAGGGGACAGCUACCACAUCAUCGAGACACCUUAACAAUUCCAACGUAAACCUUGACAUGCUGUCUGCUCCCCUGUCAGCUUACAUCCAUCAACGCGCCACACGACACUAAGGGAACUGCUGGUUGGAACAUCAUGACCACACUAUGGCACUGCCUGAGGUCAGGUGGAUUCAGAGACACCCCGACAUCUUCUUGAGCUGACACGGCGAGUCAGAUGAGGCGCCUAAUGGGAAAUGACAUGUACAGUGGAACUCAUCAGCGGACUCAUCGCUGCAGGAAAAUAAGGUUAGAUUGCCUCUGGACAAUAAUACAGCCAUCACCUGCAAAUUAGCAACACUGGCACAGCGCGGGACCAAGCCACACGAGGUUGUCAUAGAAACUAAAAUGCAUAAUGUUGUGUCUGCAAUCAGCAUUAAUCAUGACAGAUUUGUCUAGGGUGGUGUGCAAGCAAAUGUGGUUUGUUUAUCUCGAGAUCCAAAAACAAGAGGCAUGUGGGAUGAGUUGAGAGGGUUCACUGUGUGCAUAAUGGGGUUGACAGUAUCAUAGUGCUGCUAUGACUAGUCGAUAGAAUCAUUGAUUUUAGUGUUUUUGACUCAUCGCAGUGUUAUUAAAUGAAUAACACGCAGAUGCUCAUGAGAGGAGAAAGCAGGAAUAUUAAAUUCUAAUGUAUGGGAGCAUAUUGGACCAAAAAAGAAACCCGUAAAAACAAUUUCACAGAUACUAAACCGUUCAGAUUUUUUGAUAGAGGGUGAAAACAUUGACCCCACGGUGUCGAGCCUGAGCUGUGAAAGGAGAAGCAAACACCAUCUCCUCAUCUUAGGUCAACAGUCACUACUUGUAUUAUGGGAUAUUGCUGUGUUCCUUCAUACUAUUGGUUGCAGCAUGCACCCCACACAUUCACACGGCUUUUUGUUGAAUCCCAAUAAAACCAUGAUUGCGUGGAUUUUGCCCUUUCAGUGCACCUUAAUGAGAAAGCUGCCAAUGAUGGAUCCCGUCUGCGACGUUACACUGAUACAUAACAAACAGCACUCGAUGCUCCAUGGAGAAUCCUUCAGCAAACGCCACGGCUGACAUAAUUGAUCGGCGGGAAAAGAGAGCACUCACACACCAUCAGAAACACCACUUCAAACAGGGAAAGAAGAACAGAGUACUUGAUUUGGAAGGCUGGAUGCAAACACAUGGGAAAUGUUCCCGUCUAGUGCGUCAGUCGGAGUCUCAGCUGUUCAUCACAGAACAAAGGCUCAAUUCUUCCUGUUUUAAAAGCAAAAGCAAAACAGGGAGAUGUGCAGCAUGCAGUUUUGUCAGAGUUGAGUGUUAAAUCAAAUGAAUCGUGUGUUUAGGGAACACGGUAUGCUCCUUCAUUGAUGAAGUUCAAGCCAGUAUAGGUUGAGCAGCUACUGUGGAAAAUAUUCAAUAAUAAUAUCUGUGUGGAUUCUGAAAUGGGUCAAAUGACUUUAACUGACUGGAUGUCUCUGUUUAUCUUUGCAUGGAUGGACGUGUCUCUGAUAACAUG
This is a long non-coding RNA of Solea solea (common sole), 2317 nucleotides long. RefSeq lists it as uncharacterized. The record is from RefSeq and is a predicted model, not a curated record. NCBI's taxonomy places the organism in Eukaryota, Metazoa, Chordata, Actinopteri, Pleuronectiformes, Soleidae. The transcript is spliced from 4 exons.